Sorex fumeus (smoky shrew) is the source of this 669-nucleotide long non-coding RNA. RefSeq lists it as uncharacterized. The transcript is spliced from 3 exons. The record is from RefSeq and is a predicted model, not a curated record. NCBI's taxonomy places the organism in Eukaryota, Metazoa, Chordata, Mammalia, Eulipotyphla, Soricidae.
UGGGGGUGUUGUAACGGACUUUAAGAUCACACCGAAACCAUCUUCAGGCGUGAAAGCAAGGAGAUUUAAUUAUUUGACAUCAAGAUGAACUGCAACGAGGCAAGUCACCUGAAACUGAGGCCCCAAGCAGCACUGACUGCUCCGAGCUCCCGCCUCUGACUGCCUUCCUGGUGCCCUGUCAGCUCCCUGUUCGUGUCUCUAACUUCCCCAGGACUACAGCAUAAGGGAAGGAUAAGGCAUUUCUUAACCCAAAGUGCCAGCGUUCACUUGACCUUUGGAGAAGAUUAUCCAGGUGAACUUACUGGAAUCACAGGAGUCUGUUGAAAGCAGCCUCGGAGGCCAAGGGGAAGGAAGAGAAAUCUUGAGCAGAGGCAGCAUGCCGAGCAGUUCCACGGAGGGGCACAAGCCAAGGGUCUGGGCAGCUUCUGGUGUCUGAGAAAAACUCAGCUGAUGGCCCCCAAGGAAACCAGGACUCACUUCUCCAAGCCUAUGAAACAAAAUGAAUCAAUAACACAGCAAGGAGCCCCUAGAGGUGAAGCCUCUGGAUGAGAACCAGGCUGGCCUUUUCCACCUCUGCUUUGGAAAAACCUAAACUGAGAACAGCUAAGCCUCCAUUGGCCAGAUUUUGACCUACAAUGGCAACUUCUCAAUAAACGGGUCUUGAUUUAA